This 276-nucleotide non-coding RNA is filed under the name Pan troglodytes (chimpanzee). Lineage: Eukaryota; Metazoa; Chordata; Mammalia; Primates; Hominidae. The record is from RNAcentral.
AGAGCUUCCAGACAGCCGAACAUAUGGAUGCUCCUGGAAGGUAGAGUGCCCAGGAAGGACAUGGAGACUCUCUACUCCUUCCCCCAUACUUUGCCCUACACAUCUCUUCAUUGGCACGGUGGCUCAAGCCUAUAAUCGCAGCACUUUGGGAGACCAAAGCAGAUGAAUCACCUGAGGUCAAGAGUUCAAGACCAGCCUGGCCAACACGAAAGAAGCUCUCACAGUGGAAGACUAUAAUAUGACAUAAGAAGAAAUGUGGACUUGGAGACACAGAAG